GAUGAACGCUGGCGGCGUGCCUAAUACAUGCAAGUCGAACGAAGCCUUCGGGCUUAGUGGCGGACGGGUGAGUAACACGUUGGUACCUGCCUCGAAGUGGAGAAUAACCGGCCGAAAGGUCGGCUAAUACCGCAUGUGAUCGCAAGAUCAAAGUCGUAAGACGCUUCGAGAGGGGCCUGCGUCCCAUUAGCUAGUUGGUAGGGUAAUGGCCUACCAAGGCGACGAUGGGUAGCUGGAUCGAGAGGUUGACCAGCCACACUGGGACUGAGAUACGGCCCAGACUCCUACGGGAGGCAGAAGUAAGGAAUCUUCCACAAUGGACGAAAGUCUGAUGGAGCAACGCCGCGUGCAGGAUGACGGCCUUCGGGUUGUAAACUGCUUUUAUAUGGGAAGAUUAUGACGGUACCAUAUGAAUAAGGACCGGCUAACUACGUGCCAGCCGCCGCGGUAA
Molecule: ribosomal RNA, 451 nt
Filed under: uncultured bacterium
Lineage: Bacteria
Description: partial 16S ribosomal RNA
Rfam family: Bacterial small subunit ribosomal RNA
Source: RNAcentral